Molecule: unclassified non-coding RNA, 423 nt
Filed under: fungal sp.
Lineage: Eukaryota; Fungi
Description: partial internal transcribed spacer region
Rfam family: Eukaryotic small subunit ribosomal RNA (bases 1-46)
Source: RNAcentral
AAGUCGUAACAAGGUUUCCGUAGGUGAACCUGCGGAAGGAUCAUUAACACAUCCAUUAUCAACUAUCAACCUUGUCGCAUAGCAAAGAACCUACCUGCGGGGAGCGUCAGCAGUUUGGCAAUGGUUGGAUCUGCCUGCACGUCGGGCAGUUGGCCUGUUGACUAAUUCAUCCAUGUUCAUUGAAUGUGAGGUGGUAGCUCUACCCGGUAAGGAAUACAGUCUCUGCCAUGGCUGGCCCCAUUUUUUUAUCUUGACUUCUGGUUUGGAUCACGGGUUUGAUUUUAGAUUGAGAGGCUCUGUUCCUUUCUCUAGUCGGACUCGUAUGGCCUGGAUGUUUAACACCCUUUCUUCUCUGGUUGGAAGGGUUGAUAUCUAAGGAUCAUAAAUAAAACACAACUCUUAACAGCGGAUAUCUCGGUUCUC